RNAcentral lists this non-coding RNA (26 nucleotides) under Homo sapiens (human). The record is from RNAcentral. Lineage: Eukaryota; Metazoa; Chordata; Mammalia; Primates; Hominidae.
UCCAUCAAGGAAGGAGGGACACUUGC